UCUCUGCCCUUGGACGCCGCCGAAGCAGCUUCGUUAAAGUCUCUCUUCUCCCCGCGAUCAUGUCUAAGUCAGAGUCUCCUAAAGAGCCGGAACAGCUGAGGAAGCUCUUCAUUGGAGGGUUGAGCUUUGAAACAACCUAUGAGAGCCUGAGGAGCCAUUUUGAGCAAUGGGGAACGCUCACAGACUGUGUGGUAAUGAAAGAUCCAAACACCAAGCGCUCCAGGGGCUUUGGGUUCGUCACGUAUGCAACUGUGGAGGAGGUGGAUGCAGCCAUGAAUGCAAGGCCACACAAAGUGGAUGGAAGAGUUGUGGAACCAAAGAGAGCUGUCUCAAGAGAAGAUUCUCAAAGACCAGGUGCCCACUUAACUGUGAAAAAAAUAUUCGUUGGUGGCAUUAAAGAAGACACUGAAGAACAUCACCUAAGAGAUUAUUUUGAACAGUAUGGAAAAAUUGAAGUGAUUGAAAUCAUGACGGACAGAGGCAGUGGCAAGAAAAGGGGCUUUGCCUUUGAAACCUUUGAUGACCAUGACUCUGUGGAUAAGAUUGUCAUUCAGAAACACCAUGCUGUGAAUGGCCACGCUGUGAAGUUAGGAAAGCCCUGUCAGAGCAAGAGAUGGAGAGUGCUUCAUCCAGCCAAAGAGGUCGAAGUGGUUCUGGAAACUUUGGUGGUGGUCGUGGAGAUGGUUUCGGUGGGAAUGACAACUUUGGUCAUGGAGGAAACUUCAGUGGUCAUGGUGGCUUUGGUGGCAGCCGUGGUGGUGGUGGAUAUGGUGGCAGUGGGGAUGGCUAUAAUGGAUUUGGUAAUGAUGGUGGUUUUGGAGGAGGCGGUCCUGGUUACUCUGGAGGAAGCAGAGGCUAUGGAAGUGGUGGACAGGGUUAUGGAAACCAGGGCAGUGGCUAUAGCUAUGACAGCUAUAACAACGGAGGCGGAGGCGGCUUUGGAGGUGGUAGUGGAGGCAAUUUUGGAGGUGGUGGAAGCCACAAUGAUUUUGGCAGUUACAACAAUCAGUCUUCAAAUUUUGGACCCAUGAAGGGAGGAAACUUUGGAGGCAGAAGCUCUGGCCCCUAUGGUGGUGGCGGCCAAUACUUUGCCAAAUCAUGAAACCAAGGUGGCUAUGGCAGUUCCAGUAGCCGCAGUAGCUAUGGCAGUGGCAGAAGAUUUUAAUUAGGAAACAAAGCUUAGCAGGAGAGGAGAGCCAGAGAAGUGACAGGGAAGCUACAGGUUACAACAGAUUUGUGAACUCAGCCAAGCACAGUGGUGGCAGGGCCUAGCUGCUACAAAGAAGACAUGAUUUAGACAAAUACUCAUGUGUAUGGGCAAAAAACUCAAGGACUGUAUUUGUGACUAAUUGUAUAACAGGUUAUUUUAGUUUUUGUUCUGUGGAAAGUGUAAAGCAUUCCAACAAAAGGUUUUAAUGUAGAUUUUUUCUUUUUUUUUUUUUGCACCCAUGCUGUUGAUUGCUAAAUGUAAUAGUCUGAUCGUGACACUGAAUAAAUGUCUUUUUUUUUAAUGUGCUGUGUACAGUUAGUCUACUCUGAAGCCAUCUUGGUAAAUUUCCCCAACAGUGUGAAGUUAGAAUUUCUUCAGGGUGAUACCAGGUUCUAUUUGGAAUUUAUAUACAACAUGCUUGGGUGGAGAAGCCAAUGUCUUCAGAAACCUUGGUGUAGUUGAACUAAUAGUAACUGUUGUGACCUGAAGUUCACGAUUAAAAGGGAUUACCCAAGCAAAAAUCAUGGAAUUAUUGGUUAUAAAGAUGAUUGUUUGCACAUCCUAUGCAAUAUAUCUAAAUUGAAUAAUGGUACCAGAUAAAAUUAUAGAUGGGAAUGAAGCUUGUGUAUCAUCCAUUAUCAUGUGUAAUCAAUAAAUGAUUUAAUUCUCUUGAAAAAAAUAAAGAACACAAGAAUCAUGAAAAAGCAAAGAAAUAUGAUGCUUCCAAAGGAACACAGUAACUCUCCAAUAACAGACCCCACAGAAAAGGAAAUCUAUGAAAUGUCCAAAAACGAAUUCAAAUUAAUGAUCUUUAGGAAACUCAGCAAGAUACAAGAGAACACAAAUAGGAAAUAGAAAGAGAUAAGGAAACAAUUAAUGAAAUUUUAAAAGGAAUACAUAUAAUUAAAAGGCAAAUAGAAAUUUCAAAACUGAAUAGUUCAAUGAAUAAAAUAAAAGUGCAGUUGAGAGCUUCAGCAAUAGACUGGAUCAAGCAGAAGAAUUUCUGAACUUGAAGACAAAUAUUUUGAAAUAGCCCAGUCAGACAAAAAAGAUAUAAAGUAACAAAAAAAGAAUAAAAGUAAUGAAGAAAACCUGCAUGACAUAUGGGACACCAUUAAAUGAACAAAUAUUUGCCUUUUGAGAGUUUUAGAAGACAUGGGAAAAGGCACAAAAACCAUAUUUAAUAAAAGAAUAGUUGAAAACGUCCUGAGUCUUGUGAGAGAUACAGACAUCCAGAUACAGGGAGCUCAAACAUUCCCAAAUAGAUUCAACCCAAAAAGGUCCUCUCCACAGCACAUUGUGGUUAAACUGUCAAAAGGGAGAGACAAAUAGAGAAUUCUAAAAACAGCAAGAGGAAAGUGUCAAGUGACAUAUAAGGGAAUCCCCAUCAGACUAACAGCAGAUUUUUCAGCAGAAACUUUACAAGACAGGAGAGAAUGGGAUGAUGUAUUCAAAGUGAUGAAAGGGAAAAAACCCCUGCUAGCCAGGAAUACUAUGCCGAGCAAAGCUAUCCUUCAUUAAUGAAGGAGAAGUAAAGUCUUUCUCUGACAAGCAAAAACUGAAUUUGCCCUACAAAUGCUUAAAGGAGUCCUACAUCUGGGAGUGAAAGGACAAUAUCUACCAUCCUGAAAACACACAAAAGUAUAAAACUCACUGGUAGAUCAGAUAUAUGAAUGAAAGAAAGAAAGGAAUCAGACAUUAUCAGUACAGAAAAUCACCAAAAAUAAAAAAUAAGAGAGAUGGAAAAGGACAAAUGAUAUGCAAAACAACAAAAUAACAGGAGCAAGUCUUCAUAUCUCUGUAACAAUCUAGAAUGUAAACAGUUUAAAUUUCCCAAUUAAAAUAUAUACACUAGCUAAAUGGAUAAAAAAGAUGUAACUACACACUGCUUUUAAGAAAUUCACUUCACUGGUAAAGAAACACAUAGACUGAAAUUGAAAAGAUGGAAAAACAUGUUUUAUGUAGAUGGAACCAAAGUACACAUGAGUAGUUACACUUAUAUCAGACAAAAUGGACUUUAAGUCAAAAAACAUGAGACAAAGUCAUUAUAAAAUUGUAAAGGAAUCAAUUUGGCAAGAGGACAUACAAUUGUAAAUAUAUAUGCACUCCACACUGGAGCACUCAGAUAUGUAAAGCAAAUGUUGUUAGAGCUAAAGAGAGAGAGGUAGGUGUCAAUAAAAUAAAAGGUAAGAACUUCAGCAGCCCAUUUCAGCUUUGGACAGAUUCUCUAGAUAAGAUCAACAAAGAAACAUUGGACUUAAACUGUUCUGUGGAUUAAACAGAUCUAAUAGACAUUAACAGAAUGUUUCAUCCAAUAGCAGCAGAAUAUACAUUUCAUCAGCACAUGAAACAUUCUCUGGGAUAGACUAUAUGUUAUGCCACAAAACAAAUCUCAAGAAAUUUUAACAAAUCAAAAUCAUGUUGAGUAUCUUCUCAGGCCACAAUAAAAUAAAACUAGAAAACAACAAGGGGAACUUCAGAAAUUGUUAAAAAUACAUGGAAAUUAAACAGUGUGUGCUCAAACUAGCAUGAAUCUAUGAAGCAAUAAGAAGAAAGUAAAUGUUUUUAAACAGAUGAGAAUAGAAACAAAACAUACCAAAACCUAUGGAAUAUAGCAAAAACAUUACUGAGAGAACUUUAUAGGAGUAAAUGCCAACAUCAAAAAGGAGAAAGAACUUGAAUAAACAAUCUCAAAAUGUUUCUCACAGAAGUAGAGCAGCAAGAACGACCCAAACUUAAAAUUAGUAGAAGGAAAGAAGUAAUACAGAUCAGAAUAAAACUAAAUAAAAUAGGGACAAAAAUACAAAAGAUUUACAAAUUGAAAGUUGUCUUUUUGAAAAGAAAAAGUCAACAAAUCACUAGCUAGGCUAAGAAAAAAGAGGGAAGAAAUAAAAUCAGAAAUAAAAAUGGAGGCAUUACAGCUGAUGCCACAGAAAUAAAAAAAGAUCAUUGAAAACUAUUGUAAACAACAAUACAUCAACGGACUGAGAAACCUAGAGGAAAUAAGAAAAUAGAUAAAUUCCCAGACACAUACAACCUACAAAGAUUGAACUAGGAAGAAAUAGAACACCUGGACAGACUAAUAAUGAGUAAUGAGAUUUAAUCAAAUCUCUUUUUCUUUAUAAAUUACCCAGUCUUGGGUAUUUCUUCAUAAUGAUAUGAAAAUGGACUAAUACAGUCAUAUAUUGUAUGAUAAUGAGUAAUGAGACUUAAUCUAACUUCUUUUUCUUUAUAAAUUAUUCAGUCAGGUAUUUCUUCAUAGCAAUAUGAAAAUGGACUAAUGCAGUCACAUCUGUAUAAUUAAAAGUUUCCCAACAAAGGAAAGCCCAGGCAGAAUGGUUGUAUUGCUGAAUUCUCCCAAACUGUUAAAGAAGAACUGACAUCAACUCUUCUCAAUCUAUUUUAAAAAAAUUGAAGAAGAGGGAAUUUUUCCUAACACAUUUCAAUAGGCCAGCAUUAUUCUUAUACCAAAGCCAAACAAAGGCACAACAAAAAAAGAAAAAGCAACAGGCUGUAUCCCUGAUGAACACACAAGCAAAAGUUCUCAACAAAAUAUUAGCAAACUGAAUCCAACAGCACACCAAAAAAAUAGUACACCAUGAUGAAGUGGGUUAUCCCAGGGAGGCAAGAAUGUUUCAACAGACGCAAGUCAAUAAAUGUGAUAUAUCACAUCAACAGAAUGACAGACAAAUGCAAUAUGAUCAUCUCAAUAGAUGCAGAAAAAGCAUUUGAUAAAAUUAAACAUCCAUUCAUAAUAAAAACUCUCUACAUAGGAACUUGGGAGUUUAGGAAUAGAAAGAACAUACCUGAAUUAUGUGUAGAAGGAAUGUACCUCAACACAAUAAAGUCAUGUAUGAGAAAUCCACUGUUAACAUCAUACUAAAUGAGGAUAUGCUGAAAACUUUUCCUCAAAGGACCAGAACAAGGAUGCCCACUCUCACCACUCUUCUUCAACAUAGUACUAUAAUUGGGCAAGAGAAAGAAAUAAGGAGGGUGUCCAAAUUGGAAAGAGGAAGUAAAAUUGUCUCUUUUUUUUUAUGGACGACAUGAUCUUUUAUACAGAAAACCCUAAAGACUUCACCAAAACAAACAAACAAAACAAACAAAAACUGCUAGAAAAAAUACUGAUAAAUUCAGUAAAGUUUCAGGACACAAAAUCAAAACAGAAAAAUUAGUAGUGUUUUUAUACAGCAAUUACCAACUCAUUAAAAAAGAAAUGUAGAAAAUAUUCUCAUUUACAAUAACUACAAAAAAAAAUAAAGUACAUAAAAUAAAUUUAACCAAGGAGGUGAAAGUUCUGUGCAAUGAGAACCACAAAACACUGAUGAAAGAAAUUGAAAGGGGACACAAACCAAUAGAAAGACAUUCCAGGCUCAAGGAUUAGAAAAAUUAAUACUGUUAGAGAGACGAUACUAUUCAAAGGGAUCUACAGAUUCAAUCUGAUCCCUAUCAAAAUACCAGUGACAUUCCUCACAGAAAUAGAAAAAGGAAUCCUAAAAUUUGUAUGGAACCACAAAAGAUCCUGAAUAACCAAAGCAAUCCUGAGCAAAAAGAACAUAACUGAAAGCAUCACACUAUCUGACUUCAAAAUAUACUACAAAGUUAUAAUAGCCAAAUCAGAAUGGUAUUGGUAUAAAAAUGAACACAGAGACCAAUGGAACAGAAUAAACAACCCAUAAACAAACCCAGGUAUAAAUAUUUACAGCCAACUGAUUUUUGGCAAAGGUGUCAAGCACAUACACUGGGGAAAUAACACCCUGUUUGAUAAAUGGUGCUGGGAAAGCUAGAUAUUCAUAUGCAGAGGAAUGAAACUAGACCCCAUCUCUUUAUAUAUAUAAAAAUAAACUCAAAAUAGAUUAAAGACAUAAAUGUUAGACCUGAAACUAUAAAACUGCUAGAAAAAAACAUAGGGGAAACACUCCAGGUCAUUGGUCUAGGCAAAAAUUUUAUGCCUGUGACUCUAAAACACCGAUAACAAAACCAAAAAUAGACAAAUGGGACCACACUAAACUAAAAAGCUUCUGCACAGCAAAGGAAGCAAUCAAGAGUGCAGGCAACCUAUAGAAUGAGAGAAAAUAUUUGCAAGCUUUACAUCUGGCAAUGUAGUAACAUCCAGAGUCUACAAGGAACUCAAACAACUCAAUAGUAAAAGACCCUAACAAUGUCAUUAAAAAGUGGGCAAAGGAUCUGAAUAGUCAUUUCUCAGAAAAGACAUACAAAAGAUCAGCAAGUAUAUGAAAAAAUGCUCCACAUCACUAGUCAUCAGGGCAAUGCUGUUUAUUGCAGCACUAUUCACAAUAGUUAAGAUAUGGAAUCAACCUAAAUGUUCAUCGACAGGUAAGUGGAUAAACAAAAUGUGGUAUAUAUACACAGUGGAAUUCUAUGCGUCCACAAAAGAGAAUGAAAUCCUGUCAUUUGCAGCAAUGCAAGUGAGCUUGGAGAUGAUUAUGUUAAGUGAAAUAAGUCAGAUGGAAAGAAAUACUGCAUAUUUUCAUUCAUAUGUAGGAGCUAAAAAAAGUUGAGUUCAUAAAAGUGAGUAGAGUUGUGGUUAUUAGAGGCUAGGAAGGGUUGGGAGAGGAUUAGAAGAGGUUGGCUAACAGAUGAAUUACUGCUAGAUAUGAGGAAUAGGCUUUAGUGCUUUAUAGCAUUGGGUGAAUAUAGUUAACAGUAACUAUAUUUUCAAAAGCUAGAAGAGAGGAUUUUAAUGUACCCAACAUAAAGAAAUGAUAGUUUUGAGGUGUGGACAUGCUAAUUACCCUACUUUUAUGAUUACACAUUGUAUACAUGUAUAGAAAUAUCACUCAUAGAUAUUUACUGUUAUUACAUGUCAACUAAAAAUAGAACGGAAAAAACCUGAAUUAGAGGAAAUAUAUACCAGAAGAAUGAUAUAUAUUUUGGUAUAUUUCAGAUAGUGUGGUUUUCAAAGGUGGAUCUUGAAGCCCAAUUCAUUUUAAUAGGUACUAAAAAUAGCUGGAAUCAAAAGAACCCACAAAAUCUUUUGGACUAAAGGUACUGGAAAUAUUUGAAUCAUAAUAAACCUCCUCAAAAGUCUUCAAUAGUGUGUACUGGCACUAUGUUAAUGGUUGAAUAAUGGCUACAUAGGGGAUGUACCAUUGCCUGCUUUUGUGUAGGUUUGAAAUUUUCCAAAAUUAAAAUAAAAAAAUAUUACCUAACCAUCAGGCCCUUUCAAUGAUUAUACUUAGCGGAGUGAAUAGAAUGAAGCAUCAAGAGCUGCCAGAAAAGGUAGUCCUGAGAUGCAGUGUGAAGGGCUUUGCAGGCCAGUCAGAAAGUUUUUGCGUAAUGAGAAGCCUUUCGAGGAUAUUAAGCAGGUGGUGUGUGUGUAUGAAUGUGAAUGUGUGUAGAUGUGAAUGUCUAUAUGGGAGUAUGUGUAAGUGUAUAUGUUAGGUGUGUGUGCAAGAGUAUAUGAGUUCAAGUGAAUGUGUAUAGGUUUCCUGCUCAUACAGUCAUGGAACUGGUGUGAAUAUCAUAGCUGUAGUUGAAAGGUAAUACUUGAAGUCUGAAUUUAGCCUCAGUCCUCUGGGUGGAGCUUAGGGUGGCCAGCUGUCCCAGGUUAUUCAGGACAGGGAAGUUUUCUGGGAUAUUGGAACUCUGAGUUUUAAAAAUCUGAGUGGUUAGUCACCUUAGUAGUGGCAGUGGAUAAAGGGUACAAAUUGUGAGUAGUUCUAUGUUUGAAUGGUGCUUGGUGGAUAAGGAAACAAAGAAAAAUCAGGCAGCUGAAUAGAUAUGGAAGUCAAGGGUGAAGAUCUUUAAAACAGAGGGAGUGUCCAGCAGUGCCCCACCCUUAAGGGGAUCUGAGUCGAUGGAGACUCAGGCCACAGGUUUGAGUUUUCAAAAUAUUAUUAACUUACUCAGAUUAGGACUUACCAGGCAUGUUUUUUGUUAUUUAGACUUCAGACAACAACAGCAACAACAACAAAUUUCUGCCAUUGGGUGCAAUUAAUACUAUUAGUGCCAAAAACAUAGAUUAGAAUGUAGACACAGGACUUGGUGAAACAACUCAUGAAAGAUAAAAUAUUAAGGCAAAGGUGUUUGAAUCACUUAACGAUUUGAUUAGAUAACAAAGAGGUUAAGGCCAUCUCUUGUAGUAUUUGGAGAUAUUUAAUUUUUAUUAUGUUAAGAUAAAUCUCACAUAAAGCUUAACAAAUCUUAGUCAACUCUUAUGAGUAGAGUGUGAGUGUUAGGUGGUGCUAUUCCACUGAGCAGUGAGAUGAGGGAAGAAUGGGCCUAUGGGGUCUUGGUACUUUCUGCAUAUCACGUUGCCACUCCCUCCCUGACAAGUAUUUCUAUCACUCAUCGUCUCAGCUGCACUCAGGGCUGCCAGCCAUAAUCUAUUAUCCAGCUACUGGUUUGAAUAAAUCAAUGAUUUAUUUGCAGUCUCCUAGAGCUGUAGGCAGGAAAUGCAAACAGCAGCUUUCCCUCGGGAGGGCUGAAUGUAAUGGGACCCUUUUCUGUUUUGCAUCCUCAGGCUCUGAUGGGAAUCUCUGAGGAUGCUCAGUGGAAAAUUUCUUUUCCUCUCAGCCCUGAUCUCUCCUGAAUGGCUCAGUAAGACUGAAGGAAAAGGAUUCUGUCCUGAGUUCUCUUCUCGCCAUGGUGAAGGAAAUAGGGAAGGAAGAUCAGGAUUAAAAAAUUGUUUUUAGAGGAUAGGAGUUUUAAUUGUGGACAUUUAAGGUUUAGGGUACAUUCCUGACUCCACAGUACAUAGACUUCCACUCAGGAAUUUUCCACAUUGUAAUUUAAUCCAGUAUCCUUUUCCAGCCUGUGUACUCUUGGGAGGGUGAAAUUUUUGUUGAGUUGAUCUUUGUUUACUAAAAAUGCAUUAAGACAUACAUUUUUCUUGAAUGUAUAGAUGCACUCAUUUUGUAUGGUGGUUUGCAGUUUGUCAUAGACAUAUUAUUUUGAGUCUCACAGCAGCCCUAUGAAGUGGAUGUUGUGAUUAUUUCUGCUUUCCAGAUGGGGAAACUGAGGCUCAGAGAGGUUUAGUGACUUUCCCAAGAUCACACAGAAUGGGGACUGAAGUCUAGGUCUUUGACACCAAGUGUAGGUUCUUUCUACACACCACACUAACUCUAAGCCUUUCCCAUCAUCAUACAAUGAACCAGUCUUUUGCUUAGUCAUCUAAAAAGAACACGCAAAUACAAACAUUGCCCUGCUGGAUCAAAUCCACAAGGAGAACCACAGCCUAGUGUUCAGCCUCAACGGAGAUGGUUUAUAGAGGCACGACUAUUUCAAGCUCAUUUCAAACUCAUUGUUAUCAAAUGAGUAGCUUCAGGGUCAUAGUUUUCAAAGCCUUAGAUAGAAACAAAUUUGGGGCUAUGUGUCUGUCCUUAACAGGUGGAAGACAGGGGACUAGAACAUUUAGCUUUUUGAGCUUUUUGUUUAUUUAUUUAUUUAUUUAUUCAAAGAACUAGCGGAUUGUGUUUUAAAGAUUUCACAGGGACAGAAAAACUGGAGAAAUUGAAAGUGGCAAAAAUACUGGAGAAGUUGCCACGUUCAAAACACGGCACAAGUUUCCACAAUCAGUAUCCCUGGUUUUGCAAUGAAGUGUGACUGGGGCCUCGGGCAUGCUGUGCCUUCAGGAGCUGAAGAACAUGCCUGAGUGAAGGGGCUGCAACUGCAGCCUGGGAGAAAAUCUGAUCCACUCAUUCGUUUUGUUUUGUGUAGCCCACGAUCCACUCAACCAAAAUUUCACCCUCCGAGAAUGCACACCUAGGAAAAUUGGACAUAGCCAUGCUCCAACAGAAUUUCAUAUCAUGAAAUAUUAAUUUUUUUCAACCACUUAAAAAUGCAAGAAGCAUUUACUAAACAUGUAUUUUUAAAUGGUUGAAAAAAUUAAAAUAAUAUUUUAUAAUGUGAAAAUUAUUUGAAAUUCAAAUUUCGGCCUCCAUACACAAAAUUUUGGUGGAGCACACCCAUGUCCGUUCAUUUGUUUUUUUGAAUCUGGUGGCUUUUGUUCUGCAACAGAAGAGCUGGACUCUUCUGGCAGGGACUGCAUGUGGCCGAUAAAGCCUAAAUUAUUUACUCUCUGAUCCUUCACAGAAAAAGUUUGCUGGCCCCUAACCUAGUGCCCUGCUCGGUUCAAAUUGACACUCAAAUAACUGUUGGGGAGCUAAACUGUGGAAUACUGCAUGUCUUACAUUUCUGACAUUGUCAGGAAGGGAACAGGAAAACAAUUCUUAAGGCCACCCUAUACUUUUCACCUGCCACUUGGAUUGAACUACUGGAUCUGUGGCCACGUUCUGCCACCAGGCUUAUGGGACUAUAAAGGCUGAGCUUUCUGUGUGCAUCUGGCCCAAUCUAGUUUGGCCUUUUCAUAUCUGGCCUGCUUUAAAUAACCUGAUUCUAGAUGCCUCUCAGUCUCACUGUCCUACCCUUUAGAAUACUAACAGCUAGCCAGGUGCGGUGGCCAGGAGCUGAGCAAAACAGAUGCUAACUUACUCUGGCCUCUUUCUUUUCUCUUUCUGCUUCCUGCCCACUUCACUCUUUUCCCUGCAUUCUUUCUUUCCUCUCUGCUCACUUUGUUCCCUUUCAUUUGGAGAAAUAAAGCAUUCAGGCCAGGUGCAGUGGCUCAUGCCUGUAAUCCCAGCAUUUUAGAAGGCUGAGGUGGGUGGAUCAUGAGGUCAGGUAUUCAAGACCAGCCUGGCCAAGAUGGUGAAACCCCAUCUCUACUAAAAGUACAAAAAAAUUAGCUGGGCGCAGUGGCAGGUGCCUGUAAUCCCAGCUACUUGGGAGGCUGAGGAAGAAGAAUCGCUUGAUGCUCCCACCUGGGUGGUAGAGGUUGCAGUGAGCCGAGAUCACGCCACUGCACUCCAGCCUAGGCAACAGAGUGAGACUCUGUCUCAAAAAAAAAAAAAAAAAAAUAGCAUUCAGUUACCUUUGCAUAUCCAUGUGCCAUCCUAUAACUCAUCUCUAUCUCCAAACAUCCUUUCUAGACUAUUGGUUUUUACCCAUUCCCUCCCUUUUGGCAUCAUCUUCUAGAACCCCUGGGAUCAGGAUGUCACCCUAUCACUCCACUGAUAAUAGCACACAUGGCCUUUUUUUAGUCAAAUCCAAAGCCUUUUUCUUCAGCCUUUACUUUCGUUGGAACAUCCACAGCACUUGAUAAUUUCCAGCAGCCUUUCUUUCCUGCUCUUCUUCCUCUGUAGCUACUCUGGUUUCCCUUCUACCCUUUGCACUGAUUGCUGUGCUCUGCUUCACCAGCCCUAACUCUACGUUAGUCGGGUGUCUUAAGUAGGAUGAUCAUGUAAUUCUUCAUCCAGACCAUGAUAUUCUUGAGAAUUAAAGGGUGCUCAAUUAACAACAGACAAUAAACAGAGAUUGGCCUUGGCAUCUGGCCACCCUCUCCUUAAGGCUCAGGGGAAAAUAAAGUGGAGAGAUCUCAGGGCAAGAUGUGAAUGAACAUAGUUCAAGUCACUUUCAAUGUCCAUCUUCAGGUUUCUUGGUUAUUUCUGUUUAGAAUCUCAGGUUAAAAAUUCAGCUUCAUAUUCAUAAAAGGGUCAAGUUAUCUGAGAAAUGUCAGAGCAGGUUUGGGAGAAAAGAGAGGGUGAGGAGAGAGUUCUACCUGAGGAAAAGGCAGAGGUGGUUGGACCAGGUCCUGCAGUCCUCCCUGAGUUCGUCACAGAGUCUGCCCUUUUAGGUAAAGAGGAACUUGGUGCUGAAACCGCUUCCAGGCUCUUUUCAGCCCAGGGUUGCCCAAGAUCAGUUGUACUGAGUGGCCUGCAGGGUAGGCAGCCAUGAUGAUCUUGCACAAAAUAUUCCAGGAACUGUAAGUGUCAAAAAUGUUGGACAUGGAAAGAAAUAGAGCAGUUGCAUUGAAAACGUAGAGGAUGAGAAAGUAGCUGGUGGCUUUGAUGGCCCCUAUGUGAGCCUUCAUGCUGGGGUCCCCGGACCCUGUGGCAUUGCUUCCCAUGUGUAGGGUGUGUCUCUUGAGAGAGAGGAUCAGCAGGGUGGCUGCCAGGGUGAACAUGAUCAGAGGAAUGAAGAGCCCCAUGUUAUAGAAAAAAACCAGGUUGACCAUAUUGGUUUCAGAGAAGUACUUCUUCUCUGUGGAGUUGGAGGAGGGGAUAGGAAUGGAGCUAUUCACAUACACGUUGAAGACAUCUUUAGAGAAUGGAAUGCUGAAGCCUAAGGAAACCAGCACUGACAGCCUCAGAAGCCAAGGCAUCAGCACUAUGAUUUUCCUCUUCAUCAGGAAGAACAAAGGGUGAUUGAAGUUUGCAAUUCUAAGACAAUAGAAGACAUUGAGCCAGGCAGCAAACCAGAGGUUGGAAUGGUUCAGAAAGACAAUGAUGACUUUGAAGAGGGUAUACACUGUGUUUUGGUUAUAAACAAUUCGGAAUAGCAGACUGAAAAUGUUCUCCAGCAUCAUCCAAAUCUGUAGCAAGACCCUGGAAAUGCUCAGCAUCAACAUAAUGCAGUCACCAGUGGGGAGUGUUUUGCCCCUGGCCCACUCAGCCCCAUAGAUGGCCGUGAUGAAGCCACUCCCAAGGAUGCCAAUGAUGCACUGUAUUCCGGAGACCACCAAGGUGAAGGUGACCUUGAACCUGGAGAUGUCUUUAUCUGUGGCAUCUGUGUUCACCGUUGCCAUUCUCUGUGAUCUCGACUUUCAGGUUUCUGUGCCAAGACUGCUCUGCAAUCUUCUGACCCUCGCUCAAUGUUUUUAUAAUUUUCGCUCCCCUCGUUAAUGGUUAUUUACAAUUUUUCUCAAUUUGUUUAUCACAUGACUACAAGUUAGAGCCUUCACAUGCAAAUGAUGAGAGGAUCUGGUUACUGGCUCUGUCUCAAUUUUUCAUAAAGAUACAUUUGUCUUGGACUUUCAGAAGCUCACUGGAAAUAGUUUGGGACAUGUUUCUAGCUCAACACCUUCCUAUCUUACUUACUUUAAGUCCACAUUUUCCUGAUGAGGCAUGAAUAGUAGGCUUUUUUACUUGUCUCACAAGAUCUCUGUUACCUGCUAAAUUAUCUGUAAAAGCUCAUACAGCUUUUAAAAUUCCUUUUCCCCACUUCUUUUCUUGUCUCUCUUACUUUGGAAGAGAUUUUUAUUUUGAUAGUUACCAUGUUUGUGAAUAAAAGAUUCCCAUAAGCUCAUAUAUGAAUAUCUUUUACUUAGAAUUGAGUUUCUUCCAAGAAGGCCUGCUAUUAUAAUGUUCUCAGAUAGUGUACAGAACAGCCAAAAUUGGAUGCUAUUUGAGUUGGAGACAAGGAAGUCUCCAUAGUCCCAGUUUUCAUUGUGUACAUGUCAUCAGUUUCAGCUGACUGAGAUCCACAUGACUAUUUGAGCUCAGAAUCAGGUAGAAUGAGCCUGGGGAGAAUUCAGUGUUCUGGACAUGGUGUUGAAGUUCAGAAAUGUGAUAAGGUACUAUAGCUUGAAAUUUAAUUUCCUACUUUUUAAUUCUGGCUGUGAACCAGAAUGAACUCUGACAGUUUACAAGAAUAUAUAGGACUCAUCCAAAUCUAGGAAAUCAGAAUUUGAACUAGGGCUCAGGCAUGCUAUCUUUUAAAAAAGCCAAAAGGUCUUGUUGCUCAUAGUCAGGAUUGAGAACCAAACUCUUAGCUAGAAACCAAUGAGCCUUGGGUCAGAUUUGGCCUGUAGUCAUUUUACCUUGCAUUGGCUAAUGCCAUACAGCAUUAAUCCACCAGUGCACAACUUUUUUUUUUUUUGAAGUGUUUUAUUGGCCAACAUUUAAACUUAGGAGAUUACUUAUAUGUACACACAAAAAAAUCUAUCUUCUCUUGAAAAAUUAGAAGAUUUGGCAGUAUUGGGUCUUCAUAAUCAAUUGGUCGAAGCUCAGUAGUGGCUGCCCAUUUUAAACAAGGUAUAUACUUUUCAGUUUGUUGACAAUACUAAUUCCUAGUGUCUUCUUGACACAGAAGCAGAGUGCCAGUUAUCAUUUUUCAGUGUGCUUGCCCUGUUAUUUCUGUUCGAUCUUUUUUUUUUUCUUUUUGAGACUUGGUCUCACUCUGUCAUUCAGGCUGGAGAGCAGUGGCAUAAUCAUGGCUCACUGCAGCCUUGACCUCCAUGGCUCAGGUGCUCUCCACACUUCAGCCACCCAAGUAGCUGGGACUACAGGUGCAUACCACCACACCUGACUAAUUUUUGUAUUUUUUGUAGAGACAGGGUUUCACCAUGUUGUCCGGGCUGAUCUUGAGCUCCUGGGCUCAAGCAAUCUUCCCACCUCAGCCUCC
Non-coding RNA from Callithrix jacchus (white-tufted-ear marmoset), 14413 nucleotides. The record is from RefSeq and is a predicted model, not a curated record. NCBI's taxonomy places the organism in Eukaryota, Metazoa, Chordata, Mammalia, Primates, Cebidae.